Molecule: long non-coding RNA, 1029 nt
Filed under: Olea europaea (common olive)
Lineage: Eukaryota; Viridiplantae; Streptophyta; Magnoliopsida; Lamiales; Oleaceae
Description: long non-coding RNA (OEUR_LNC013765)
Source: RNAcentral
UAAUAUAUAGCUUGGAAAUGGGAAAAUUUGCUUGCAAACUCAAAUACAGCCACAAUUAGGCAUCACGGUUAACUCCGUGACUUGACUCUUGUCGUGCCCAACAAGUACAUUAGUCUAGAAAUUAGAACAUUAAAUCAUCUCCUAGCAUGGUUGGAGAAUUUUGUGUUUGAGGCCCACAAGAAACUAAGAAAAUUGAAACAUAAAGGUUUCAUUACUACUUCAAAGAGUUCACGACCUUUAUGCUUCAAAUCCCAAGGCAUGUCGGAAAAUGUCUUGCUAUUCUAUUUCAUGGAUGGUUGUGCAACAUGGGUGUGGCAAGAAUUCCAAAGGAGUACGAAGACGCAAGCAAAGGACCUUCAAACCAACCAAAGGAAAUUUUGGUAAAGGCAGGGGUGGCGUAAGCCGAAUUGGAGACCAAAUCCCAAAGUCGAAUAAUUGGAGAAAGGUUUAUGCUGACAAAAAUGUAAUUUUGCUCCUAGUGGUUGAUUCAAAUAUGCAAAGGGCCGCAUCUCAUGCGGGAUUGUCCUAAUCUAUGAUCAUUGGCAUCCAUCUCGAGGAGCAAACUGGAGGUCAUAGAUAGCGGAUGAAGUUAAGAUGAAUUCAUUCCAAUUGUUUAAUAUAAGGACAUGAUGCCAACAGAUUUGUCGAGGGAACUACCAUAAAGGAGAGAAAGUGAUUAUGUUCAAUUGCUAUAGGAGGCGCAGGUAGGAAAAAUUAGGUAGCGCAGAUAGUGCACCACAACUAAGCAGAACUAUCUGUAGUAGGGAUCGCAAUUUGAGAAAACACAAGAACUAUGGAAGGGGACACAGGCAGGACCAGCAUAUUCAUUAUAGUAGGGGGACGUGGAAAGGAAAAAAUUCAAGCAAAUUGGGCAGGCACUGCAGCUCAGGAACGUAAGUAGCAACACAUGCAGAUUAAAUAAACAAAACACAAGCAAAAAUUGCAAUCGGGCUAGGUAGGCAGGACAUAGGCAAAUUGAACAAACAGAACACAAGCAGAUGGUGAAAAACGUUGGCAAGGGACGCAGGA